CCGGACAUGCCAAAGAUUUAUCGCUGGAAGAUGGCCUCGCGUCUGAUUAGCUAGUUGGUAGGGUAACGGCCUACCAAGGCGACGAUCAGUAGCCGGACUGAGAGGUUGGCCGGCCACAUUGGGACUGAGAUACGGCCCAGACUCCUACGGGAGGCAGCAGUGGGGAAUAUUGGGCAAUGGGCGCAAGCCUGACCCAGCAACGCCGCGUGAAGGAAGAAGGCUUUCGGGUUGUAAACUUCUUUUGUCAGGGAACAGUAGAAGAGGGUACCUGACGAAUAAGCUCCGGCUAACUAC
This 294-nucleotide ribosomal RNA is filed under the name uncultured bacterium. RNAcentral's name for it is "partial 16S ribosomal RNA". It matches the Rfam family "Bacterial small subunit ribosomal RNA", at positions 192 to 504 of the family's 1533-position model. The record is from RNAcentral.